RNAcentral lists this unclassified non-coding RNA (20 nucleotides) under Mus musculus (house mouse). RNAcentral describes it as "oocyte_clustered_small_RNA9997". The record is from RNAcentral. Lineage: Eukaryota; Metazoa; Chordata; Mammalia; Rodentia; Muridae.
AUGAAAUGUUGACACCCUUG